CUAAGGAAAAACGCAAAGCACAUUAGGGGAACUUCUUGUUUAGUUUUGAGAGGGUAAGUGGGGCCUUAGCUCAACUUGGAAGAGCGCCUGCUUUGCACGCAGGAGGUCAGCGGUUCGAUCCCGCUAGGCUCCAUUAAAACAGGAUACUAACAGACGGUUCGCUUGCGAAUACUUCUGUAGAAGAUGAUCUAUUUCUAAGAAGUCAGUCUGGAGUUCAACUUCAUAUCUUGUUUAAGACAAGGAAGUCUAUAAAAUCCACUUAGGAUAUGAUAAGUAUCCUAGGAUGGUUCAUUGACAAUUGAAUAGCUAGUAAAAGCCCUAUAGCGCAGCUAUAGGGGAACAAGAAAGAAACCGAGACGUUGAAAAGCCAGAGAAACGAGAAAUAAG
RNAcentral lists this transfer RNA (387 nucleotides) under Streptococcus mutans. RNAcentral's name for it is "16-23S ribosomal RNA intergenic spacer". The stretch from base 60 to 133 matches the Rfam family "tRNA". Lineage: Bacteria; Bacillati; Bacillota; Bacilli; Lactobacillales; Streptococcaceae. The record is from RNAcentral.